RNAcentral lists this long non-coding RNA (796 nucleotides) under Monodelphis domestica (gray short-tailed opossum). Its description in RNAcentral is "lncRNA (ENSMODG00000041730.1)". Lineage: Eukaryota; Metazoa; Chordata; Mammalia; Didelphimorphia; Didelphidae. The record is from RNAcentral.
GCCUUUAGCCCAAGACCGGAAGUCAUUUCCCCGAUCUGCCGCUCCCUCCCCCCAUCAUACUCUGAAUUUUGACAUAUUUCUGUCUCCGCUAAGAGCAAGAACCAUUUUCAUCAUUUCUCUGGGAGAUUUGCUGGAGUCCGGAAGAGAUGCUCAGACCUCGAUGCCAAAGGCCUGGAGCUCCAGAGAUGGGCUCCAGCUUUUGGGUUAAGAGCCACCUAGGUCUCUAAGAAGAUGCCACACAUUAUAAGACCGGUGUUCUUUCUCCUUUUGAUGUUCAGGAAAGUUGAAGGUACCAGUCUGCUUUGCUGGCCUCGCAGAGGAACCUUCCCUCUAAAUGAGGAGGGAAGGCCUCAUUCUAGUAAAAUGAGUGCUGACAGUCAGCACCUCCAAGACAAAGUAAUUCAGGGAAAUGUUCAAAAGGAUUCAUCCAUUUACUCUCCUGGGGGAGGGAUCAUUCAAUAGCUCCAGAGGAGGCUGAGGUCUGGCAGAUCCUCGAGGCCUGGUGGAACGCUGAGGUCUGGCAGGCCCAAAGUGGCCAAGAAAUAUUGUUCCUGUAAAGUCUGGCUUCUUUGCUUCUCGGAGGAGGAGUCUUUUGAGAAGUCCCCUUUUCCUGUGGAGCUCCAGGAGAAUCUGACUGGCCAGUAUCUACCCCAAAUGAUCUCUGCUCUGAGGCAGGGGGAGGGACGUGUGGUCUAGGAAAGGCUCUGGGGUGCCCAUCAGGGGCCAUUCCCAUGAAUCCUUGAAGAAAGGAAAUGUGUACAAUAAAACCCCUCAGAGUAUACUUGAAAAUCCUUGC